AAUAAUUUAGCAACUUCAAAAUAUAAACCCCAUUCAAUCAUUCAUAAUAUCCAAGCUUUAUGACCCAAAACAUAAUCAAGCUCAAUUAGCAAAAGAAUAGGCAUACAUGCAACUUUAUUAUUUUUUUAGAACAUUAUUGGUUUUUCCGGAAUGUCAGUCAAUCUUUUUACGUGAGUGCAGACAUUGGUGAUAUUGACCUCGGUUACUCAAUUGGUCACACUUCUGAAUGGCUAUUAGCUCUACUCAUAUGUAAUACCCUGCCCAUCACUGUGCUAAAAUAAUUUAUAAACUCUAUUUAUACGGGCC
RNAcentral lists this long non-coding RNA (306 nucleotides) under Carica papaya (papaya). RNAcentral's name for it is "long non-coding RNA (CPAP_LNC000095)". Lineage: Eukaryota; Viridiplantae; Streptophyta; Magnoliopsida; Brassicales; Caricaceae. The record is from RNAcentral.